CUCUCAUUUUUAUUUAUUUUAUAACUGUCCUCACGCCGUCCCCUAAAGACCGUGCAAAGAAUUCCGCGAGGGGUUUGUAAUGUUUUAAAUCUGGAUAUCAAGCCUCUUCCUGGUUGACCUUAAAAGUGUUGAUGCCACCGUAAUGUCUUCAUAAAGUUCGGGGGUUUCACUUGUUAUGCAUUUUUGGCAAACGGUAUAUUUUUCGAUGGGCUUUUAUGCGAUAAUAUGUAUUGCCUAAAUUUCAUCUUCAUGUGAUGUUAGCUAACUCGUUUCUAACUGAGGUAGAGGAAAAGUUAUAGCCAAAACCAGACGAUCUGGAGAAAAUCAAAGAUUUGACGGAGAUUUUAAAUGAAGAAGCUCUAAGUAAAUUAGAGGCAGAGUGUGAGGUAGACGUUAGUACGCCUAGUACAACUGGAAGUCAUAAGAUGCUAUUUGACCGAUGUUGAUAUAAGAGCCAACAACAAGAAAAAAAGAAAUGCCGCCGCAUUUCGCCUCAUCGUAAGGAAUGAAGGUUCGCCACUUAAUUAAAGCUCGCAACAGAGUAAAAAUAAGGAAAAAUGAGGUCCAACACUCCGCUCAUCGCCUCAUAUAGAUAAAGAUUCGCUGUAUGGCAAAGACUAAAAAACAAGCAUACAACUCCACGCCUCCGCUCCAGCAGAAUGGUGCUUCCAUAGACUAAUGGUUCAAUGUCUAAAACAUUAUCAAACUACUACUACUUCUCAGGAAAUCAAGGUAUUCAAGAUAUAUUUUCCAGUCCUCACCCGUGCUGGGAGGUUUGCCAAUUCUUUACGCGGUUCUUCUUCAAUGCAAAUAGUUACACUCUGG
Long non-coding RNA from Glossina fuscipes, 825 nucleotides. RefSeq lists it as uncharacterized. Lineage: Eukaryota; Metazoa; Arthropoda; Insecta; Diptera; Glossinidae. The transcript has 4 exons. The record is from RefSeq and is a predicted model, not a curated record.